Long non-coding RNA from Wyeomyia smithii (pitcher-plant mosquito), 5318 nucleotides. RefSeq lists it as uncharacterized. The record is from RefSeq and is a predicted model, not a curated record. NCBI's taxonomy places the organism in Eukaryota, Metazoa, Arthropoda, Insecta, Diptera, Culicidae. The transcript is spliced from 3 exons.
AAUUGCUGAAUUGCUGAUGACUGCCGGCUGCUCGAUGUAUUUUAAGACAACUACUUAGGCAUUGUUUAUUUGAUUUUGUCUCGGAUAAGUGAGAGUUCUGUGGUUUCUUUUAUAGUGGAUGAUAAGAAAAUACUCAUGUAGGCAUCUGAUAAUUACUGAGGGCUUGAUAAAUAAGAUGAAUUUUAUUAAAAACAUCGGACAGUCAACAAACUCUAACGAAAGCUAUACUAUGACAAAAACUGAAGAUUUAAUAUCAUCGUGGAAGAAUUGUUGUUAAGAAUAAAAAUGAUAAGGCACAAUAAGGAUAUCAUCAUAUUAAGCCAUUUCAGUCAAGCAGAGUUUUUAAUACGGUCAUUCUUUUUAAUCAACAAUUCGAGAUGCAUUGAGCCGUGGUCCUAUUGAUGCCACAUUAUUUCAUACAAAUAAGUCUACAGUUAGUGUUAAGCGUAGCUAACAAAUAUAAAUUUCUAUUGAAGGGCAGUUGCAAUUGUGAUAGUUCGCAAAUUUCAAUGUUACAAAAUAGUAUAUCUUGAGCGAUAGGGUAGAGUUAUCGUGUGAUUAGUCGAAUUAGGUUUUUCGGUGUAAAAAAUGUUUUAACAUUUUUGAACAAGAAACAUGAAACAAUUUAUUAGAUAUAACUUAGUCGGCUUUAAUCAUUGUAUUUCAAGGAAAUGUAAUUUUCAUGAUCGUUUCUAAAUUGCCAUAAGUUAUAGGUUUUCCUGGUAAAAACCUUAUCAAUACAUAAACGUAUAAUUUUUUUGGUGUGUUCAACUUUAUAGCUAUUGUAUGCCUUAAAAAAUGCAACGCAUUUUAGUUCUUCAAUUAAAAAUACAAUUGUGUCAUCAUUUUUACUAUAUGUUUUGUUUCGCCAUAAAAUAAUUUGUUACACAUCUCAUAUUUAAGUAUCAACCCUGGGCGAAAAGUGGUACUAUUAAUUUUCAUGUGAUUUAUCAAUGUUAUUGUUUCUGGAAAAUCAAAAAGUAGCAAAGAAUAUUCACAGUGUUGCUUAAGAAUUGAAGUUGAAGAUAGUAUUGUUACAUUAUUCAGAUCGUAAGUAUGAUUGAUGAAUGCAUAAAUUUGUUUGAGAUUAAAACGUUUUGUUAGGCUUAAUGAUAAGUUGCGGAAAUUAUUACAUGUCUUUGUCUGACGUUUGGUCUCUUUAAACUUCGCUUCGAAAAGCAUGCACGAAAAGUUAGCCACAGGUCCCUCUUCUUUAAUUAUCGAAGGGUAAUGUACAAGAUGGUGCAUUUAAUUGAUGAAAUUUACUGUGGGAAAGCAAACGCGAAACAGUUUGUGAAAACUUUGAAUUUCUUGCUUCAAGUCACCAAUUUGUGCUACAUAUAGCUUAUUAGAAAACGCAAAAAAAGUUAUUCUUAACGAUGAUCCGAUUAAAUCAACAUAGUUGGUAUUACUAACGAUAUUCGCGUGAAACAUGAAAGGAAAUGCUCUCAAAAGUGUCCAAGUCUGAGCAGCAGAUUGUGGAAUCGAAUAACCUGGUGGCUUAAUAUUUUUCAACGAAAAGCUCGGCGAUGGUUUAUCUCGUGAUUCAACAAAUCCAUAGUUGAAGUCCAUGAUGAUCUUAUUAAUUUCAUCUAUCGUAAUACUUUUUUCGCAAUUCACGAUAUCAUUGAAAAUUAACUUAAUAAGCAUUGGUGCAAUGCCCUCGAGAAUGUCAUGCAUGGGAUCCAUUGUGUUAUUAGUAGCGAUAUGAAAAAAAUCAGCUUAUGUAGUGCACAAUCUCCCACAAUACCUAAAUCUUACGGUAGUUUUAAUUUGUUUUGAAUUGCUUGAAUGUCCGAUUGUAAACUUUGUCCUGUUCUUAAAGGAAAUGAUUCUUGAGAAUGUUCCUGUUUUAAAGCAUUUCGCGGCAUGUAACACAUACGGCAAAACAUUUUAGCAUGGGGUCCCAUCAAACGAAAUAUAUCGUGAAUAGCCAGUGUAUCUCCGAUUACAUGAACCAAUACUGCUCGUAAAACGAAGUCCUUCCCAUUGUCUAUUUUGAUUUUCACGCCAAUUUCUGAUUCCAACAAAAGAAGAUCCUGCAUCAAAGGACGAAGCACUCGUUCGUAUCCAUAUAUCUUCAAAUCAGCAGCACUAACUGUGAGUGUUAAAUAAAUCCGGUUUAACUCAGAGUUCACGAUGGAGUCAAAAUUCUCAAUUUUAAAACAAAAUAUAGUCAUUUUUUUCAUUCCUUUACGGAAGCCCAACGGGUUUCGGUGCUCCACAUCGUCAAGAUGCAAUGAAAGUCUCAGUGCUUCGGGGUAGUUUUGAAGAAACGGAUGAUGUUGAAAUCUAGAACCAUCCUUGAACCCGCACAGAAUACUUUUUUCGGUUUUUUCUUCCUCAAUCAUUGCUCUAUGGUUCUGCAUGAUUAGUGCUAGCGUAUCUUUUAUAGAAAUAUAAUGAGCGACAUGCUUCACUACCUUCGUCUUUUAACUUACUCGUGCAGGGUGGCGACUAGCUUUUGAUAAACUGCGUGCGAUACUCGUAACUUUCCUUCUACCUAAAACCUCUUCUUUUGAAUCGGGUAAAGCAUAACCCGGCAGUCCAGAUAAAUACGCCAAACUGUCUACUGGUCUUCUAACCUCGCCAAAUACAUUUACCAACGACAUCUUGUUGAUUGUUUCUUGAGCAUGAAUAUCAUCAUAACUGAUGCUUUUAACUUCUAGAAAUGAUUUGAAUAAACCCAUGAAGUACAUCUCAUACCCGUUCAGUAAAGUAUGUGCAGUCGUGAUGAACUGUUGGAUCUUUGACUCCGGUAUUGAAACAUCACAACGCAUUUUCGUGAUAAACUCAUUGAUCAUUUCAAUUAUUUGUUCAGUAGAAACUGUCGUUUUGAAAAACAUGUUUGUAAUGUUCGAAUAGUCUGGGUUCGGAUCAGUCUCGUCUGGAAUUGUUGAUUUUGAGUCGUAAUGUUCGGAAUUUGAUAAUGCGUCUGUACGGUCGUCAAGCUGUGGUCCGUGAGAUUUUUUUAUAUGGCAUUUCAAAUCUUUAAAUCGUGAAUAUAAAAUGUUACAUUCAGAGCACCUGGAUGGUAAUUCAUUAAUUUUGCUGGUGUUUAAAUUGUGAACAUUUACGAAAUGCGAUUUUAGUUCAUCAAUAUAACCGGGCACAAGCACUCCGCACGAAGGGAGAUGACAACGAAAUCCUUAAAACAAAAUCGGAAUAUAAAAAGUGCGCUUAGUCGUCUGACUUUCAGUAACGCAAACGGUAAUGCAUAGUGAAUGUAUGCAAGGUGUAUGUGUGUAUGAUGUGUGUAUGCAUGGUGCAUGUGUUUAUGAUGUAUGUGUGCAUGAAGUAUGUGUGAGAGAUGUAUGUGUGAAGAUUUAUAAUUUAAAAUAUAUUUUGAACGUGGCCACGACAGGUCAACUAUUUUUAAAUAAAGUUUUGACUUGGCAUUUCAUAUUCUUACCUUUUAAUUUUUGGAAUGAUUCCGCAUCGAGUAAGGCUUCAACCUGUUCCAUUCUUUAGCCUUCGAAAACAAUACUUGCAACUGAGGAAACUUCUACAAAAUAACAAUGCAGUUUAUAAAACUCUCACUGGAAAGUAACACUUUUUAUACAAACAAUACCGCCGUUGAAAAUUUUUGACAUAUAUAUACACUCAGGGGUGAGUAAACAUCAUGGAUAAAAACUCAAAAUUGAGUAAACAUGGCAAUUAUGAAAAUUUGAGUAAAUGUUUCUCAAUUAUCCAGCACCCGGUUACUCACUUUUUGACAUUUUGCAUAAGAAUACCAAAUUGAGUAGAUCCUAAUCAAAUUAGAGUUAAAAUAAAGCAGCGUGCUGAUCGUUUGUGGUAAGGCAAUGUAAUGUAUGUACGGUGCGGCCGAAUGUGGAUAUGUAUGAAUGUGCGUCAUCGGAGCGAAAUGUUGUGUAUUCGGAGUCUUGCAUAAUACUGGGGUUUCAGAUUUUAACCUCCAGGGUGAUAAAAUUGUAUUCCUUAGGGAAUAUUUUUAUUAUUUACCGCAUUAUGCGAGAGACAUUCUUUGGUCCCUCUCAAACGUCUCAGUAUGGGAGAUGCUUUUGAGAUGAACAGGGACAGAAAGACAUGGUCCAGAAUGUUGACGAUGACGUGGGCUGGGUGCCAGACGGAGUGCGUGAAUGUAUGAUUGGAUAUGCAUGAGUGAACGAAUAAAAGUUGGUGUGGUUGAAUGAGAAGCAAUGUUCUCUAGAACUUAAUUCAAGAUGUGAGUCGAAUUGCAAAUGGCGAUUGGAAUGAGAGGAUAUGUUUGAAAGAGAAAAUAGAAUGAGUGGUUCGUAAAUUAACUCUAGCUCUAACCGUACAAAACUAGUACUGGGACUUGCAGUAUUUUGGGAGGAUGAGUUGUCUUGAAGAUUGGGUCAGAUGAUAGCUGACUGCUUCUCGCUUUGCGAAUGCUUUCAGAAUUAGCACUUCACAUCAAGACCAAACAAUUUCAACGAUUCGGAACUCCGAUCGAUUAGUUUGGAAUUGGUUAUUUAUAAAUUACGGAAGGAAUGAUAGGGAUAGCAGAUUUUGUACAUAUUUAUUUAUUUGUUUGUUUAUAUAUUUAUUUAUUAAUUUAUUUAUUUAUUUGUUCAUUAACUUAUUCAUUCCCCGUUUAUUAUUGUUAUCGGUGUUAGGUGGUGGUUAGUAAAAAAAAAUUGUUUUUCCACUCGGUGUGGGCGAGAUUGUAACCGGUGCGGUUGCAAUUUCAGCAUCGAGUGGAAAUUUACCUAAUUUUGGUACUACCGCGGGAGAGUGUAUGAGUAGAAAUUACCCUCAUUUAGACACUCCCGCAAGAGCGUGUACCCAACAUGACAACUGUCACCACUUGUGCUGAAUAUCGUUCACAUAAGUUUGUUUAUUUUCGUUUAAAUUCGUUCAUUUUUUCGUAUGUGAACGAUAUUGUCGCGUUAGUUAGGUUCGAUAAUUUUUUUGUCAUGUUUGUGGAAUAAUUGUUAGGAAUAGAUAGGCCGGUGUUUUCCUCCAGCUGCGAAAAAGUGGUGCUGAAUCCAGUCUCGGCGGGUAUGUUGUGGUCGGCAGCCAUCGCGGGAUGAUCAGUUUAGCCUCGAUAUCGUCUGUGUCCUGUGUGUCUCGCGAAGGUUGUUCCGCGGAUACGUGUAAGACCAGCGAAGGUUGAUACAGGUGUUCGCUCGCCGGAUAGGGUAAGCUGCGCUAUUGGCUACCCCCGGCUAAGUGCCAAGGAGCAGGAAAACACCGCCCCGCCGAGGACCAUUGCAGCAGAAACGAUUCGUGCUGCAGGAGCAGCAGAAAGCAGCCCCGGACGGCCACCAUCGGCGACCCUCACCGCAACUGACAGCUAGAGGAACCAGAAUAAACGGAUGAGUUUUUGUUUA